GACGAACGCUGGCGGCGUGCUUAACACAUGCAAGUCGAACGGAAAGGCCCUGCUUUUGUGGGGUGCUCGAGUGGCGAACGGGUGAGUAACACGUGAGUAACCUGCCCUUGACUUUGGGAUAACUUCAGGAAACUGGGGCUAAUACCGGAUAGGAGCUCCUGCUGCAUGGUGGGGGUUGGAAAGUUUCGGCGGUUGGGGAUAGACUCGCGGCUUAUCAGCUUGUUGGUGGGGUAGUGGCUUACCAAGGCUUUGACGGGUAGCCGGCCUGGGAGGGUGACCGGCCACAUUGGGACUGAGAUACGGCCCAGACUCCUACGGGAGGCAGCAGUGGGGAAUAUUGCACAAUGGGCGGAAGCCUGAUGCAGCAACGCCGCGUGCGGGAUGACGGCCUUCGGGUUGUAAACCGCUUUCGCCUGUGACGAAGCGUGAGUGACGGUAAUGGGUAAAGAAGCACCGGCUAACUACGUG
Molecule: ribosomal RNA, 468 nt
Filed under: uncultured bacterium
Lineage: Bacteria
Description: partial 16S ribosomal RNA
Rfam family: Bacterial small subunit ribosomal RNA
Source: RNAcentral